Molecule: transfer RNA, 73 nt
Organism: Ovis aries (sheep)
Lineage: Eukaryota; Metazoa; Chordata; Mammalia; Artiodactyla; Bovidae
Rfam family: tRNA
About the family: Transfer RNA (tRNA) molecules are approximately 80 nucleotides in length. Their secondary structure includes four short double-helical elements and three loops (D, anti-codon, and T loops). Further hydrogen bonds mediate the characteristic L-shaped molecular structure. tRNAs have two regions of fundamental functional importance: the anti-codon, which is responsible for specific mRNA codon recognition, and the 3' end, to which the tRNAs corresponding amino acid is attached (by aminoacyl-tRNA synthetases). tRNAs cope with the degeneracy of the genetic code in two manners: having more than one tRNA (with a specific anti-codon) for a particular amino acid; and 'wobble' base-pairing, i.e. permitting non-standard base-pairing at the 3rd anti-codon position.
Source: Rfam
UCCCUGGUAGUCGAAUGGUUAAGACUCUACCCUCCCAAUGCAGGGGGCCUGGGUUCAAUCCCUGGUUAGGGAA